CCCGCUGAACUUAAGCAUAUAAUUAAGCGGAGGAAUAGAAAAUAACAUUAAUUUCCUGAAUAGUGGCGAACGAAAAGGAAAAAGCGCAAAGUGUAAAUCGAAUUACCCAAUUCGAGUUGUACAUGACUACCAAUAAUACCCGAAUCUAGAUGGAGGUGUUUGGAAAAGCCCCCCAUUGGCGGUGAAAGGCCGCAGCAUCUAAAGGAAGGUUACACAUUGGUAGUAAGCGGAGUCACAUUCUUUAGGCGUAGAAUGUAAAGAGGGUGGUAACUAUCAUCCAACGCUAAAUACUACAAGGAGACCGAUAGCAAACAAGUACCGUGAGGGAAUGUUGAAAAGCACUUCGGAAGGAGAGUUAAAAUACCUGAAAUCGUUGAUACUCUCGAGGCUUGGCUUCCGCAUUCCUUGCGGAGCGAUCUUUUGGCAUUUACGUCGAAGUAGCGUCUGCAGGCUAUGUUUGAAUCUGGCACACGGCCCGUCUUGAAACACGG
RNAcentral lists this ribosomal RNA (491 nucleotides) under uncultured fungus. Its description in RNAcentral is "eukaryotic LSU rRNA". It matches the Rfam family "Eukaryotic large subunit ribosomal RNA", at positions 24 to 664 of the family's 3401-position model. The record is from RNAcentral. Lineage: Eukaryota; Fungi.